CUUUGACCUCAAAUCAGGUAGGACUACCCGCUGAACUUAAGCAUAUCAAAGGUCGGAGGAA
This 61-nucleotide ribosomal RNA is filed under the name Candida albicans. RNAcentral describes it as "partial 28S ribosomal RNA". The record is from RNAcentral. Lineage: Eukaryota; Fungi; Ascomycota; Pichiomycetes; Serinales; Debaryomycetaceae.